UAGGGAAUCUUCCGCAAUGGACGAAAGUCUGACGGAGCAACGCCGCGUGAGUGAUGAAGGUUUUUGGAUCGUAAAGCUCUGUUGUCAGGGAAGAACAAGUACCGUUCGAAUAGGGCGGUACCUUGACGGUACCUAACCAGAAAGCCACGGCUAACUACGUGCCAGCAGCCGCGGUAAUACGUAGGUGGCAAGCGUUGUCCGGAAUUAUUGGGCGUAAAGGGCUCGCAGGCGGUUUCUUAAGUCUGAUGUGAAAGCCCCCGGUUCAACCGGGGAGGGUCAUUGGAAACUGGGGAACGUGAGGGCAGAAGAGGAGAGUGGAAGUCCACGUGUAGCGGUGAAAUGCGUAGAGAUGUGGAGGAACACCAGUGGCGAAGGCGACUCUCUGGUCUGUAACUGACGCUGAGGAGCGAAAGCGUGGGGAGCGAACA
This 428-nucleotide ribosomal RNA is filed under the name uncultured prokaryote. RNAcentral's name for it is "bacterial SSU rRNA". It matches the Rfam family "Bacterial small subunit ribosomal RNA", at positions 355 to 774 of the family's 1533-position model. The record is from RNAcentral.